Molecule: ribosomal RNA, 672 nt
Filed under: Escherichia coli
Lineage: Bacteria; Pseudomonadati; Pseudomonadota; Gammaproteobacteria; Enterobacterales; Enterobacteriaceae
Description: partial 23S ribosomal RNA
Rfam family: Bacterial large subunit ribosomal RNA
Source: RNAcentral
GGACAGUGUCUGGUGGGUAGUUUGACUGGGGCGGUCUCCUCCUAAAGAGUAACGGAGGAGCACGAAGGUUGGCUAAUCCUGGUCGGACAUCAGGAGGUUAGUGCAAUGGCAUAAGCCAGCUUGACUGCGAGCGUGACGGCGCGAGCAGGUGCGAAAGCAGGUCAUAGUGAUCCGGUGGUUCUGAAUGGAAGGGCCAUCGCUCAACGGAUAAAAGGUACUCCGGGGAUAACAGGCUGAUACCGCCCAAGAGUUCAUAUCGACGGCGGUGUUUGGCACCUCGAUGUCGGCUCAUCACAUCCUGGGGCUGAAGUAGGUCCCAAGGGUAUGGCUGUUCGCCAUUUAAAGUGGUACGCGAGCUGGGUUUAGAACGUCGUGAGACAGUUCGGUCCCUAUCUGCCGUGGGCGCUGGAGAACUGAGGGGGGCUGCUCCUAGUACGAGAGGACCGGAGUGGACGCAUCACUGGUGUUCGGGUUGUCAUGCCAAUGGCACUGCCCGGUAGCUAAAUGCGGAAGAGAUAAGUGCUGAAAGCAUCUAAGCACGAAACUUGCCCCGAGAUGAGUUCUCCCUGACUCCUUGAGAGUCCUGAAGGAACGUUGAAGACGACGACGUUGAUAGGCCGGGUGUGUAAGCGCAGCGAUGCGUUGAGCUAACCGGUACUAAUGAACCGUGAG